GGACAAGAUAACUGGCCAAACUCUUCCGAAGUGUCAAAGUCAUGAUGUCAAAGAGAGAGGGGAGACCUGAUUCCUGCUCCAGGACACCUCAGAGACAGGACAACUAAAUGAAAAUGUCUACUAUGGACUCACUGUGGAUCUUGUGAAGUUUGGCAUUUUCGUCCACCAGGUUAGAGAUAAACAUGUGCAAAAUGCUUGAUAAGACAAUUCACAAGCAAGAAUUUGAUCCAAAGGAACUGAUAAGAUGCUGGAGAAAUGUAUGAAAAACUCUUCAUACUACAGCAGGAAAAAAACUGUAGAACAAUUUAACCCGUGGAAUUAUUGGAAGGAAAGAGGAACUGUCAUUAUACCCAAGAAAAUCUCAGUUGGAUAUCCAAAGAUGUUUUAUCAUCAGUAACAGGCCAACCUCCCGAAGAUGCAUAAAGACACCUUUGCCGUUGACCAGGCAGACCCUGCAUCCACAGGACAUAGAGAGAAAGGUGCUCCCUGAACACUGAUCUGGAUAAGCAUUGCUGGGUCAGUGCAGAGGCGUCCAUUUCCCCAGUCUGCCGAGCUGGCCUAAAGCUGAGGACCUCUUAGUGGGAGCUGAGGACAUGUGCCUGAAGAGGCAAGCCCUUGACUGAUGGAAAUUGGAGUCUGAGUUCCAUGUGGGGGACUGGGAAGCACAGCAAGGUCUGAAAUGGGAGACCCAGGGAAGGGCAGAGAGGACCAAAGGAGGAAGGGGGUCUACAGUGUGGGAAACAGCCUGGACGCAACAGCCGGGGGAGGAGGCCUGCUCUGGCCCCAGUGGCCCCUUGUAAGCAGGAAAGGCAGCUGGCUAGACCUCUUCUGUGUUAUUCACUCUGAUUUUAUCCUUUAUCUUCCCCUCCCAACCUCACCUCCUUUCUAACCCCAAAGCCAUGCAGCUAAUAUGACUAAGAUUGCUGGGCGUUUGCUUGGAAAUGCAAAUGAGAAUUUCUGGUAGUUUCCUAGUUUCCUUGAUCUCCUUUGUCAAGUUUAUUGAGGGGAAAGGACUCUCGGUUAAAAAAAAAAAAAAAAGAAAA
This is a long non-coding RNA of Homo sapiens (human), 1043 nucleotides long. Ensembl annotates it as long intergenic non-protein coding RNA 1792. The record is from Ensembl. Lineage: Eukaryota; Metazoa; Chordata; Mammalia; Primates; Hominidae.